ACACUUACCUAGAAGAGGAGAUACCAUGAUCACGAAGGUGGUUUUCCCAGGGCAAGGCUUAUCCAUUGCACCCCAGAUGUGCUGACCCCUGUGAUUUCCCCAAAUAUGGGAAACUAAACUGCAUAAGUUGUGGUAGUGGGGGACUGCGUUCAGGCUCUCUCCUG
Small nuclear RNA from Alexandromys fortis (reed vole), 164 nucleotides. RefSeq annotates it as U1 spliceosomal RNA. Lineage: Eukaryota; Metazoa; Chordata; Mammalia; Rodentia; Cricetidae. The transcript has a single exon. The record is from RefSeq and is a predicted model, not a curated record.